GGUUAAGCGACUAAGCGUACACGGUGGAUGCCCUGGCAGUCAGAGGCGAUGAAGGACGUGCUAAUCUGCGAAAAGCGUCGGUAAGGUGAUAUGAACCGUUACAGCCGGCGAUGUCCGAAUGGGGAAACCCAGUGCAAUUCGUUGCACUAUCGUUAACUGAAUACAUAGGUUAACGAGGCGAACCGGGGGAACUGAAACAUCUAAGUACCCCGAGGAAAAGAAAUCAACCGAGAUUCCCCCAGUAGCGGCGAGCGAACGGGGAGCAGCCCAGAGUCUGAAUCAGCUUGUGUGUUAGUGGAACGGUCUGGAAAGUCCGACGGUACAGGGUGAUAGUCCCGUACACCAAAAUGCACAGGUUGUGAACUCGAAGAGUAGGGCGGGACACGUGGUAUCCUGUCUGAAUAUGGGGGGACCAUCCUCCAAGGCUAAAUACUCCUGACUGACCGAUAGUGAACCAGUACCGUGAGGGAAAGGCGAAAAGAACCCCGGCGAGGGGAGUGAAAAAGAACCUGAAACCGUGUACGUACAAGCAGUGGGAGCACCUUCGGGUGUGACUGCGUACCUUUUGUAUAAUGGGUCAGCGACUUAUAUUCUGUAGCAAGGUUAACCGUAUAGGGGAGCCGCAGGGAAACCGAGUCUUAACUGGGCGUUAAGUUGCAGGGUAUAGACCCGAAACCCGGUGAUCUAGCCAUGGGCAGGUUGAAGGUUGGGUAACACUAACUGGAGGACCGAACCGACUAAUGUUGAAAAAUUAGCGGAUGACUUGUGGCUGGGGGUGAAAGGCCAAUCAAACCGGGAGAUAGCUGGUUCUCCCCGAAAGCUAUUUAGGUAGCGCCUCGUGAAUUCAUCUUCGGGGGUAGAGCACUGUUUCGGCUAGGGGGUCAUCCCGACUUACCAACCCGAUGCAAACUACGAAUACCGAAGAAUGUUAUCACGGGAGACACACGGCGGGUGCUAACGUCCGUCGUGAAGAGGGAAACAACCCAGACCGCCAGCUAAGGUCCCAAAGUCAUGGUUAAGUGGGAAACGAUGUGGGAAGGCACAGACAGCCAGGAUGUUGGCUUAGAAGCAGCCAUCAUUUAAAGAAAGCGUAAUAGCUCACUGGUCGAGUCGGCCUGCGCGGAAGAUGUAACGGGGCUAAACCAUGCACCGAAGCUGCGGCAGCGACACUAUGUGUUGUUGGGUAGGGGAGCGUUCUGUAAGCCUGCGAAGGUGACCUGUGAGGGUUGCUGGAGGUAUCAGAAGUGCGAAUGCUGACAUAAGUAACGAUAAAGCGGGUGAAAAGCCCGCUCGCCGGAAGACCAAGGGUUCCUGUCCAACGUUAAUCGGGGCAGGGUGAGUCGACCCCUAAGGCGAGGCCGAAAGGCGUAGUCGAUGGGAAACAGGUUAAUAUUCCUGUACUUGGUGUUACUGCGAAGGGGGGACGGAGAAGGCUAUGUUAGCCGGGCGACGGUUGUCCCGGUUUAAGCAUGUAGGCUGGUUGUCCAGGCAAAUCCGGAUAAUCAAGGCUGAGGUGUGAUGACGAGGCACUACGGUGCUGAAGUAACAAAUGCCCUGCUUCCAGGAAAAGCCUCUAAGCAUCAGGUAACAUUAAAUCGUACCCCAAACCGACACAGGUGGUCAGGUAGAGAAUACCAAGGCGCUUGAGAGAACUCGGGUGAAGGAACUAGGCAAAAUGGUGCCGUAACUUCGGGAGAAGGCACGCUGGUGUGUAGGUGAAGUCCCUGCGGAUGGAGCUGAGACCAGUCGAAGAUACCAGCUGGCUGCAACUGUUUAUUAAAAACACAGCACUGUGCAAACACGAAAGUGGACGUAUACGGUGUGACGCCUGCCCGGUGCCGGAAGGUUAAUUGAUGGGGUUAUCCGUAAGGAGAAGCUCUUGAUCGAAGCCCCGGUAAACGGCGGCCGUAACUAUAACGGUCCUAAGGUAGCGAAAUUCCUUGUCGGGUAAGUUCCGACCUGCACGAAUGGCGUAAUGAUGGCCAGGCUGUCUCCACCCGAGACUCAGUGAAAUUGAACUCGCUGUGAAGAUGCAGUGUACCCGCGGCAAGACGGAAAGACCCCGUGAACCUUUACUAUAGCUUGACACUGAACAUUGAGCCUUGAUGUGUAGGAUAGGUGGGAGGCUUUGAAGCGUGGACGCCAGUCUGCGUGGAGCCAACCUUGAAAUACCACCCUUUAAUGUUUGAUGUUCUAACGUUGGCCCCUGACCGGGGUUGCGGACAGUGUCUGGUGGGUAGUUUGACUGGGGCGGUCUCCUCCCAAAGCGUAACGGAGGAGCACGAAGGUUAGCUAAUCCUGGUCGGACAUCAGGAGGUUAGUGCAAUGGCAUAAGCUAGCUUGACUGCGAGCGUGACGGCGCGAGCAGGUGCGAAAGCAGGUCAUAGUGAUCCGGUGGUUCUGAAUGGAAGGGCCAUCGCUCAACGGAUAAAAGGUACUCCGGGGAUAACAGGCUGAUACCGCCCAAGAGUUCAUAUCGACGGCGGUGUUUGGCACCUCGAUGUCGGCUCAUCACAUCCUGGGGCUGAAGUAGGUCCCAAGGGUAUGGCUGUUCGCCAUUUAAAGUGGUACGCGAGCUGGGUUUAGAACGUCGUGAGACAGUUCGGUCCCUAUCUGCCGUGGGCGCUGGAGAAUUGAGGGGGGCUGCUCCUAGUACGAGAGGACCGGAGUGGACGCAUCACUGGUGUUCGGGUUGUCAUGCCAAUGGCACUGCCCGGUAGCUAAAUGCGGAAGAGAUAAGUGCUGAAAGCAUCUAAGCACGAAACUUGCCCCGAGAUGAGUUCUCCCUGAGACUUUAAGUCUCCUGAAGGAACGUUAAAGACGAUGACGUUGAUAGGCCGGGUGUGUAAGCGCAGCGAUGCGUUGAGCUAACCGGUACUAAUGAACCGUGAGGCUUAACCUU
RNAcentral lists this ribosomal RNA (2902 nucleotides) under Klebsiella pneumoniae. Its description in RNAcentral is "23S ribosomal RNA". It matches the Rfam family "Bacterial large subunit ribosomal RNA". The record is from RNAcentral. Lineage: Bacteria; Pseudomonadati; Pseudomonadota; Gammaproteobacteria; Enterobacterales; Enterobacteriaceae.